Molecule: long non-coding RNA, 7549 nt
Filed under: Nicotiana tabacum (common tobacco)
Lineage: Eukaryota; Viridiplantae; Streptophyta; Magnoliopsida; Solanales; Solanaceae
Description: long non-coding RNA (NTAB_LNC014240)
Source: RNAcentral
GUCUUUUAUCGUCUCUAGAGGACAAUGAGCUUGAGAGGGAACAAAAUUUGUCUGAACUCAAUCAGUAUUAGCACUGCAAUAGGAAAAACAGUAGCUUUGUAAAGUCGAAGAGAGAUAAGAGUAGAGAGAAAAAUAUUGUAACUUGUAUAAAAUCGGAAAGAGAGACAACAUGCAUCAGAAGAGAGGGGAAAAUUUUGUCUAUACCUUUUCAAAACUGGGACUUACAAACUCCAGUUUGCUCCGUCGAAAGAGAGGAGGGAGUGGAAACACUUUACAAAUUACAAGGAUUAGUAUUUGCCAAACUUUGGCAAAACAAAAAAGGCAGAAUUGCCUAAUAGAUACCUGUAUUUUUACCGAUUUGACAUUUCGGUCCCUUUACUUGACGAAUUUUCAAGUGAAUACUUGAACUUGUUCAAAAUUGAUAUUAUAAACACCUCCAAAAUCUGCCUGAUGCUCACUUGGCUAAGGUGGAUGACACAUCAAUGUCCAUAUCUGAUUUCUAUGAUAAAAUAAUAUUAUUUUUUUACAUUAUUUAAAAAAAUUCUAAUUUCGUUUUAUGUUUCGCUCCACCAUAGUUUCGAUACAUACUUGAAAAUUAUAGCCAAAGUAAACGAUCCCGUCAAAUAUUUUUACUCAAUAUUAAAAAAACUUGAAUCUUCAUUCACUGGACGAUAAGAACAUGACAUUUUUUUUCUGUCACGCCAUUUCAUGGAAAGAACAAAUGGAAUCUUGAAAAUUGCAGUCAAAUUAAACGAGAUCCAUCAAGAAUCUUAACCCAACUUUAAGAAAUUUGGAAUCUUUAUUUACUAGAUUACCAAAAGAUGAAGAAAAAACGGGUUCUUGCAUGUAUAAUUCAAACUUUCUUCUCCCUUCAAUCACAGUACACUCAACCGAAUAGAAAAGCUGAGGCAUACCCAAAUUAGAAAUAAUGUAAAGAUAACUGAAUAUGCAACCAAGUACGGAAUACCCACCAAAAACCUCUUGAUCUGAGAUUGAUAAUCUAGGCAAAUAAAUCCAUUUGUUUCAGUAUGGAUGAAGAGUCAACUCUCACGCUUCUAUGUAGUUAAAACAGGAAAUCAAUUGAAUCUUCGGAGGUUCCACUUAAACUCCUUUGAACGAAUGGAGGGAGAAAGAUCUUUUAAUGUGUUUUUCGCUCUAAUUAGAUCACUGGUAGGAAAUAGAAUAGCGUUAGAAGAAAUGGGAAAAUUGGAAACAAAUAAGAAAAAGAAAACGAAAAAUGGCCAAAAUUAUCCUUGGCGUAUUGAAAAUAGCACCCAAGUACCCUUCGUUAAUCUUUUGAUCUAUAUAUGUCCUUAACGUUUUGUUUGGGUUCGAAUAUACCCUUAUAACUAACGGACCAAACCUUGUCAAUUUGGCACUACAAAAAUAGCCAUAUGGCACUUUAUAAACUUGCGCUAUGUAUUAUUUUGUAUUCAAAUUAAACCUACACGUUUCUUAAGUCCAACCCGGUUUGACCCUUUACCCAUGGACAUAAUGGUGAUUUGUAGACAUUUUCUAAUUUUGCUUCUUUUCUUCUUCCCCAACUGAUAUAAAUUCUUUCCGCCGGCAAAGAAGAAGAUUCAUAUGAUAUGUGAUUAAUCUAUUUUAACUGCAAACUAUUAGGAGAGAGCUUUGAAGCUGAUCUCCAAAAGCUACACUACAUUAAUAUGUUACUAUUCUAUUUUUAUCAGGUGUAGAAAUCUGUUUAAAUAAAAAUGCCCACUAUCUCUCCAAAUCCCACUCCUCCGUUCUCUUUCGUAUCUAAAUCGUUGUGAUAGUCCCCAAUUUUCAUUUAAAAUGGAAUCGCAAAAGAGAAACCCCGUAAAAAGACGACAUUGCUAAUUGACGGUGUAGUAUACGAGGACGAGCAUCAUAGAUGUAGUGUCAUAACCUUUCUUAGUAUGCACAUCAUUGCUUGAAUACACCACUUAUUGCUUUCUAAUCCAAUCUCCACCAUGAUGAAAGAUUAAAUCAACUAAUACCAUUGAUAAUAGGCUACAUAAUAAGAAUAAAAAAAGUAAUUAGCUAAAUACCAGAAGACAACAUAAAUACAUAGAAUAUAGAAAACAGAAGUACAACACAUUAAAAAAAUACUUCAAAACCACUCGAGAAUCUCAAGUCUCUAAAGCAAUCCGCCUGGCCUCUGAUGCUCAUACUUAACAUGUUGACAGUUUAAGCGCUGAGCCACAUACUCUACUAUAUCUUUCUUCAUUCUUCUCCACCAAUAAUGCUGCCUCAAGUCCUGAUACAUCUUCACGGCACCUGGGUGAAUGGAAUACCGCGAACUGUGGGUCUCCUCAAGAAUCAACUCGCGCAACCAAUCUACAUUGGGCACAGAAAUCCGACCCUGCAUCCUCAACACCCCAACAUCUCCAACAGAAGCCUCCUUGGCAUCACUGUGUUGCACCGUGUCCUUAAGGACAAGCAAAUGGGGGUCGUCAUACUGACGCUCUCUGAUGCGCUCAUACAAAGAAGAGAGAGAAAUCACGCAAGCAAGAACUUAGGCAGGCUCUGAAACAUCUAACCUCACGAAUUAAUUGGCCAAGGCAUGAACAUCCAAUACUAGCGGUCUCUCACCAACUGAAAUAUAUGCAAGGCUACCCAUACUCUCCGCCUUUCUACUCAAGGCACCGGCCACCAUAUUGACCUUCUCAAGAUGAUACAAAUUGUGAUAUUAUAGUCUUUUAACAGCUCAAACCAUCCCCGCUGCUUCACAUUUAGAUCCUUCUACUUAAACAAGUGUUGUAGACUCCGAUGAUCUGUAAAUACCUCACAAGACACGUCGUAGAGAUAAUGCCUCCAAAUCUUUAAUGCAUGAAUAAUGGCUGCCGACUUUAAAUCAUGAACGGGGUAAUUCUUCUCAUGGGUCUUUAACUGGUGCGAAGCAUAAGCAAUCACCCUAACCCCUGCAUCAAGACACACCUAAUAGCAAUCCGAGAAGCAUCACAAUAAACCAUAUAUGAACCCGAUGCUGAAGGCAAACUAGAACUGGAGUUGUCGUUAGGGUAGUCUUGAGCUUCUGAAAUUUCUCCUCACACUCAUCAAACCACCUGAAUAAGGCACCAUUCUGGGUCAAUCUAGUCAAAGGUGCAGCAAUGGACGAGAAACCCUAUACAAAAUGGCGAUAGUAACCUGCCAAACCCAAGAAACUCCGAAUCUCUGUAGUUGAAGACGGUCUAGGCCAACUUUGAAAUGCCUCAAUCUUCUUCGGAUAUACCUUGAUCCCCUCACUAGACACCACGUGGACCAAGAAUGCCACCAAGUCAAUCCAGAACUCACACUUGGAGUAUUUAGCAUAUAGCUUCUUCUCCCUCAAAGUUUGGCGUACAAUCCUCAGACGUUGCUCAUGCUCCUUCUGGCUGCAUGAGUACACCAAUAUAUCAUCAAUGAAUACUAUGACAAAAGAAUCAAGAUAUUGAUGGAAUACAAUAUUCAUCAAAUGCAUGAAGGUUGCUGGGGCAUUGAUCAGCCCAAACGACAUCACAAGAAACUGAUAGUGACCAUAGCGGGUCCUGAAUGUCGUCUUCAAAAUAUCAGAAUUCCAAAUCUACAACUGGCGAUACCCAGACCUCAAAUCAAUCUUAUAGAACACUCUAGCACCCUGGAGCUGGUCAAAUAAGUCAUCAAUACGUGGUAAAAGAUACUUGUUCUUAAUUGUAACUUUGUUCAACUACUUGUAAUCAAUAUACAUCUGCAUAGUACCAUCUUUCCUCUUCACAAAUAGAACAGGUGCACCCUUAGGUGACAUAUUAGGCCUAAUGAAUCCCUUAUCAAGUACCUCUAGAAGUUAUUCUUUCAAUUCCUUCAGCUCUGCUGGUGCCAUGCGAUACGGUGGAAUAGAGAUGGGCCGAGUGCCCAACACUAGAUCAAUACCAAAAUCAAUGUCCCUGUCGGAUGGCAUGCCCGACAGGUCUGCAGGAAACACAUCUUGAAAAUUUCUCACUACCGGAAUAGACUCAUGGUAGGAGUAUCAGCACCAACAUCCCUCACAAAGGCUAAAUAUGCCAGACAUCCCUUCCCAACCAUCUAUUGGGCCUUCAAAUAUGAAAUCACUCUACUGGAAACAUAGUCCAGAGAACCUCUCCACUCAACCCUAGGCAAUCCCGGCAUCGUGAAGUCACAAUUUUAUCAUGACAAUCCAGAAUAACGUGACAUGGUGACAACCAAUCCAUGCCUAAAAUCAUGUCAAAAUCAACCAUGCUAAGCAGUAAAAGAUUAAUUCUCGUCUCUAAUCCUCCAAUAGUCACCACACACGACCGAUACACACGGUCCACAACAAUAAAAUCACCCACCGUUGUAGAUACAUGAACAUGCAUAACCAAGGAUUCACGGGGCAUAUCCAAAUAAUGAGCAAAGUAUGAUGAUACAUAUGAAUAAGUGGAAACAGGAUCAAACAAUACUAAAGCAUCCCUAUGACAUACUAAAAUAAUAUAUGUGAUCACAACAUCGGAAGCAAUUGCCUAUGGCAUGACUGGAAAUGCGUAGCAACGGCCCUAACCACCACCUGAUCAACCUCCCCCUCUAGGGCGGCCUCGAGCUGAAUGAACACACCCCGAGCUAGAUGUGCGGUGGUAUAGUUACUGGUGCUGGAAUCAUAGGUUGAGAACUCUAUUGUGGAAAUCUACCCAACAGUCUGAGGCAAUCCCUCUUGAGAUGACUCAAGUCCCCGCACUCAAAAUAAUCCCUUCUCUGGCGAAGCCACUGACCUUGAGGAUUUGAAUAGAUGCUCGUGGAACCCUUUGCAUAUGAAGCAUGGUAAGAACUCUAUGCCAGCAACGCACUGAAUGAUAACUGAGCUGGGCGGGCAUUGUAGGAAUUAUGGCUAACUAAAGAAACACGUGGAACAUUGCAAGCUUCCUGAACGGGUCUAGAAGAACGACCUCUACUGUAAUGGGACUGACAUCCAUAUGAGGCACUACUGAAAUCACCUAAACUACGAGACAUCUUGGCCUCCCACUCCUCACGCUCCCGCCUGUGAACCAACUCUAAGCGUCUAGCAAUAUCGACAGCCUCGUCAAACCUCGCACCCGUCGCAACCUCACGAGCCAUAAUGAAUUGUAAUCAUAGUUGAGACCAUCAAUGAACCUCCUAAUAUUCUCCCUUUCAGUAGGAACCAACCAUAUCACGUGAUGAGCCAAUGCUGAAAACUCAUCUCAUACUGAGUCACUGACAUACCCUCCUGGCGUAGCUGCUCAAAUUGCCUACGCAACUCCUAUUUGCGAGUCUGUAGGACAAACUUAUUUAAGAAGAGAAAUGAGAACACAUGAAAUAUAAGUGGCGUUGCAUCGAUUGGCCUACUUAACUCAUAAGUCUACCAUCAUCGGUAGGCUACCCCGGUCAGCUGAAAAGUAGUGAAUGAAACCCUACUGGUGUCCAAAAUACCGGAUAUGCGAAGAAUCCACUAACACCGGUCUAUAAAAUACUGAGCAUCUUUUGACUCUGCUCCACUGAAUUCUAAAGGCUUAAGCCUCCCAAACCGCUCCAUUCUUUUUUUGCUCCUCAUCACUCAUAUGGGGACCAACCUUGGCCCUAGCGGCAGCAACGGCUGAACUGGCAAUACACCCGUUAUCUGGAGUCCUUGAGUAAGCUGCCCUGGAGUACGAGCAGCAGGAGUCUGGACACCUCCUCCGGCCUGUGAAGUAGUUGGUGCAACUAGAACUGAGACUGCAUGAGUAAGACUCAUACACACAGUCAUAAUCUGGGUUAAGGCCUCCUAAAGGCCAGGAAUCACAAUGGGCACUGCUGGUGCCUGAGCUGGUCCCACCGGCUCACCCACAUCUAGUACUUGCUCCUAACCUGGUGCAACUGGUGGCUCCACAGGUGCUGCUCUGGAUGUAAUACGAGCCACACCCCGGCCUCUACCACUGUCAUACCUCUUUUUUUCUCGAGGAAUGGGCCAAAGGAGUUUUUCCAAUUAAAGUACAUUAUUUGAAAAGGGAUUAUUUAUUUAAUUUUAAGAGUCGUCACUUGGAAUAAUUAUUUAUGGCGUCCCAAGUCGCCAUUUAUUUUGAAUCCCAAAUCAAGGAAAAUUGACUUUGUUUAAGUCUGCGAAACACAGAAGACCGGGUAAGAAAUUUUGCUAACACGGGAGAAGGUAUGAGACAUUCCCGAGUUCCGUGGUUUUAGCACAGUUGCUCAACAAUUAUACCUAAUUCAGAUAUUUUGUAUUUAUGAGAACUUUAUGCCCUUUUGCCUUAAACCGCUUUUAAUUGCUUGAUUAUUUUGUAAUUAUGAAAUUAUCUUGAAACGAAUCGCGCGUACGUGUAUUCGUUUUGUUUGGCGUGUCAAGAAUCAUGCCACGCAUACAUGUACAUAAUUAAUAACACUCAAUUAUUAUUAAAAUUAUUUUGCCAAAGUCGCGCGAACGCAUACCUUGCCUUUAAUUUUAGAAAUUGUAACUAUGUCACGCAAACGUAUACAUAGCCAUGACAACUGAAUUGUUUGAAGUGUGCUUAUAAUCAUGCUAACGUUGCGCUUUUUACUUAGUUAGGGGGUGAUAGAGUUUUAUUUAUUAGGUACAAUUGGGCUAUCAUGUGGAUAUUUAUUCAAGGGAAUGGGCUUGGCAACAUUUCAGCUUAUUGGCCCAAUUUGUUUAUUCACUAAUUUUGACCCCAAAAUUUCCUAUAUCUCCCGAAUCUCUCUGCCUAUCUAUUCUCAACAAUCAAAAAUGACUUAUUCUUAAAGAAUUAAAUUGGAUCCAACCACAUGAAAAGUUUUAAACAUUUAAAUUAUAUUAAAUAAAGACAAAAACUAAUGAAAAGGAAAUUAGUCUGGCUAACAUGCUUUCAACCCAAAACAAAACGAAACAACGUAUAGAAAUAAGAAGAAAAAAACGUGAGAAGAGUAAAACAAUGAAGAAGAACUGGACCUUUUAUAACUUUCAAAAUAUCAAAGAUCUUCCAACUAGUUUAUAAGAAGAACACAGCGAUGAAGUUGAAACGAACAAACCCGUCACCCGGAUACCACGAACGGAAACUCGCCGGCGACCUCGACUGAAAGCUUUACUGUUUCGGCUGGGUUUGGAUGGUGGUUGGACACUGAAAUUUCAGGUGUUUGGCUGGAAUUUUAAAUGAGGUUUAUGAUUGGUUUAACUGGCGUUUCACGGCUGCGUUUUGGAGCCAAGAGUAAGGUUCUUUGGGGUUGUUUUCUGACUGUUUUGCGGUGGAGUUAGCAGCGAUUUGAGCUGCUGUUUUGGGGUGGUGUUAAUGGAGUUUCACUUCGUUUUUCAUGGUUGAAACUACUGCUUUAAUGAUGGUUGAGGGACUGAUUUACAGAGGCCGUUUGGAACUGUUUCUAUGGCUGGAUUUAUGGAGAAAAAAAAGCAGCUCCUCCUUAAAAUAUUGGACUCCCUCCCUUUCUCAAUCUUGUUCUUUUCUUUAAAUAGAAGAAAAAUUGAUGCCUUUCCCCGUGCAAAAGAAUUUAAAAAGGAUAAUAAGGGAUAUGGGGUUUGGGACUUUGACGCGAGGGAGUGGGGAAAUGGGGCUAGAAUAGUGGGGAGUUUAUUGUGAGGGAGUUGGGGACGUGAGGGAUUGAGGGGAAGGGCUAUAGG